This 374-nucleotide ribosomal RNA is filed under the name uncultured organism. RNAcentral describes it as "bacterial SSU rRNA". It matches the Rfam family "Bacterial small subunit ribosomal RNA", at positions 526 to 896 of the family's 1533-position model. The record is from RNAcentral.
CGGGGGGAGCAAGCGUUGUUCGGAUUUACUGGGCGUAAAGGGCGCGUAGGCGGUCAGCACAAGUCAGUUGUGAAAUCUCCGGGCCUAACUCGGAAAGGUCAACUGAUACUGUGCGACUAGAGUGCAGAAGGGGCAACUGGAAUUCUCGGUGUAGCGGUGAAAUGCGUAGAUAUCGAGAGGAACACCUGCGGCGAAGGCGGGUUGCUGGGCUGACACUGACGCUGAUGCGCGAAAGCCAGGGGAGCGAACGGGAUUAGAUACCCCGGUAGUCCUGGCCUUAAACGAUGGAUGCUUGGUGUCUGGAGUUUUAUAGUCUCCGGGUGCCGUAGCUAACGCGUUAAGCAUCCCGCCUGGGGAGUACGGUCGCAAGACUG